GACGAACGCUGUCGGCGUGCUUAACACAUGCAAGUCGAACGGAAAGGCCCUGCUUUUGUGGGGUGCUCGAGUGGCGAACGGGUGAGUAACACGUGAGUAACCUGCCCUUGACUUUGGGAUAACUUCAGGAAACUGGGGCUAAUACCGGAUAGGAGCUCCUGCUGCAUGGUGGGGGUUGGAAAGUUUCGGCGGUUGGGGAUGGACUCGCGGCUUAUCAGCUUGUUGGUGGGGUAGUGGCUUACCAAGGCUUUGACGGGUAGCCGGCCUGAGAGGGUGACCGGCCACAUUGGGACUGAGAUACGGCCCAGACUCCUACGGGAGGCAGCAGUGGGGAAUAUUGCACAAUGGGCGGAAGCCUGAUGCAGCAACGCCGCGUGCGGGAUGACGGCCUUCGGGUUGUAAACCGCUUUCGCCUGUGACGAAGCGUGAGUGACGGUAAUGGGUAAAGAAGCACCGGCUAACUACGUGCCAGCAGCCGCGGUGAUACGUAGGGUGCGAGCGUUGUCCGGAUUUAUUGGGCGUAAAGGGCUCGUAGGUGGUUGAUCGCGUCGGAAGUGUAAUCUUGGGGCUUAACCCUGAGCGUGCUUUCGAUACGGGUUGACUUGAGGAAGGUAGGGGAGAAUGGAAUUUCCUGGUGGAGCGGUGGAAUGCGCAGAUAUCAGGAGGAACACCAGUGGCGAAGGCGGUUCUCUGGGCCUUUCCUGACGCUGAGGAGCGAAAGCGUGGGGAGCGAACAGGCUUAGAUACCCUGGUAGUCCACGCUGUAAACGGUGGGUACUAGGUGUGGGGUCCAUUCCACGGGUUCCGUGCCGUAGCUAACGCUUUAAGUACCCCGCCUGGGGAGUACGGCCGCAAGGCUAAAACUCAAAGGAAUUGACGGGGCCCCGCACAAGCGGCGGAGCAUGCGGAUUAAUUCGAUGCAACGCGUAGAACCUUACCUGGAUUUGACAUGGAUCGGGAGUGCUCAGAGAUGGGUGUGCCUCUUUUGGGGUCGGUUCACAGGUGGUGCAUGCCUGUCGCCAGCUCGUGUCGUGAGAUGUUGGGUUAAGUCCCGCAACGAGCGCAACCCUUGUUCACUGUUGCCAGCACGUUAUGGUGGGGACUCAGUGGAGACCGCCGGGGUCAACUCGGAGGAAGGUGGGGAUGACGUCAAGUCCUCAUGCCCCUUAUGUCCAGGGCUUCACGCAUGCUACAAUGGCUGGUACAGAGAGUGGCGAGCCUGUGAGGGUGAGCGAAUCUCGGAAAGCCGGUCUCAGUUCGGAUUGGGGUCUGCAACUCGACCUCAUGAAGUCGGAGUCGCUAGUAAUCGCAGAUCAGCAACGCUGCGGUGAAUACGUUCCCGGG
This 1344-nucleotide ribosomal RNA is filed under the name uncultured bacterium. Its description in RNAcentral is "16S ribosomal RNA". It matches the Rfam family "Bacterial small subunit ribosomal RNA", at positions 28 to 1378 of the family's 1533-position model. The record is from RNAcentral.